Molecule: ribosomal RNA, 1091 nt
Filed under: Unicauda tavaresii
Lineage: Eukaryota; Metazoa; Cnidaria; Myxozoa; Bivalvulida; Myxobolidae
Description: SSU rRNA
Rfam family: Eukaryotic small subunit ribosomal RNA
Source: RNAcentral
GCGUAGAUUAGCCAUGCACGUGCAUGUUCACACCAUUUUUUAGUGAGACUGCGGACGGCUCAGUAAAUCGGUUAUAAUCUGUUCGAAAGUGACCCCAUUGGAUAACCGUGGGAAAUCUAGAGCUAAUACAUGCGCAAAUGGCGUGUGCAGCAAUGUAUGCGCCUGCAUUUAUUGGACAAAACCAAGUGUUGGACGGGCAACCGUCGAGCAGGGUGAAUCUAGAUAACUGAGCAGAUUGCUGUGCCUCGAGCCGGCAAUGUUUCGAUUGAAUUUCCGCCCUAUCAACUGUUGAUGGUAAGGUAGUGGCUUACCAUGGUCGCAACGGGUAACGGGGAAUCAGGGUUCGAUUCCGGAGAGGGAGCCUGAGAAACGGCUACCACAUCCCAGGGAGGCAGCAGGCGCGCAAAUUACCCAAUCCAGGCAAUGGGAGGUGGCAACCAGAAGUACUGGGCGCUGGGCGAAUGCUCAGUGUCCCGGAAUGAGCAUAAAGUAAAGAGUUUGUCGAGUAACGACUGGAGGGCAAGUCUGGUGCCAGCAGCCGCGGUAAUUCCAGCUCCAGUAGCAUGUCGUAAAGUUGUUGCGUUUAAAACGCUCGUAGUCGGAUCAUGAAGCACUACCUAGUUAGCCGACGUUGGCCACGUAAAACUGUUACGUGUUUACGGCUCCGUUAGUUCGGGGUUGUGAGUGCGUGAUGGUGUGGUUGACCCGGUGAUUGCUAGGUGGUGCUCGUUGCGUGCAAGAAUAGCGAUUGGCCUUAAGUGUGUUGGUCGUUGUGUCUUGCAGAGUGUGCCUUGAAUAAAUCAUAGUGCUUAAGCACUACCUGAGUGAUACAGCAUGGAACGAACAAUCGUGUUGCGUGUGAUAUCAUACGGUAAUACUGUGUUGAUGCUGACACAUCACCAACCGCACAGUACGGAUGUUGGUUUCCGUAAUGGGGCGAUGAUUAAAACGAGCGCGUGGGGGGGAUUGGUAUUUGGCGCGAGAUGUGAAAUUCUUGACCUGCCCUACGUACUAAAAAAGCGAAUGGAAUUUUGCCCAAGGACCGUCUCGAUUGAUCAAGGACGGAUAGUGGGGAGGUUUCGAAGAUGAUC